Molecule: ribosomal RNA, 429 nt
Filed under: uncultured bacterium
Lineage: Bacteria
Description: bacterial SSU rRNA
Rfam family: Bacterial small subunit ribosomal RNA
Source: RNAcentral
UAGGGAAUCUUCCGCAAUGGACGAAAGUCUGACGGAGCAACGCCGCGUGAGUGAUGAAGGUUUUCGGAUCGUAAAGCUCUGUUGUUAGGGAAGAACAAGUACCUGUUGAAUAAGCAGGUACCUUGACGGUACCUAACCAGAAAGCCACGGCUAACUACGUGCCAGCAGCCGCGGUAAUACGUAGGUGGCAAGCGUUGUCCGGAAUUAUUGGGCGUAAAGCGCGCGCAGGCGGUUCCUUAAGUCUGUUGUGAAAGCCCACGGCUCAACCGUGGAGGGUCAUUGGAAACUGGGGAACUUGAGUGCAGAAGAGGAGAGCGGAAUUCCACGUGUAGCGGUGAAAUGCGUAGAGAUGUGGAGGAACACCAGUGGCGAAGGCGGCUCUCUGGUCUGUAACUGACGCUGAGGCGCGAAAGCGUGGGGAGCGAACAG